RNAcentral lists this ribosomal RNA (489 nucleotides) under uncultured bacterium. RNAcentral's name for it is "partial 16S ribosomal RNA". It matches the Rfam family "Bacterial small subunit ribosomal RNA", at positions 28 to 507 of the family's 1533-position model. The record is from RNAcentral.
GAUGAACGCUAGCUACAGGCUUAACACAUGCAAGUCGAGGGGCAGCAUGAUUGAAGCUUGCUUCAAUCGAUGGCGACCGGCGCACGGGUGAGUAACACGUAUCCAACCUGCCGAUAACUCGGGGAUAGCCUUUCGAAAGAAAGAUUAAUACCCGAUAGUAUAGUAUUUCCGCAUGGUUUCACUAUUAAAGAACUUCGGUUAUCGAUGGGGAUGCGUUCCAAUAGAUAGUUGGCGGGGUAACGGCCCACCAAGUCAACGAUGGAUAGGGGUUCUGAGAGGAAGGUCCCCCACAUUGGAACUGAGACACGGUCCAAACUCCUACGGGAGGCAGCAGUGAGGAAUAUUGGUCAAUGGACGAGAGUCUGAACCAGCCAAGUAGCGUGAAGGAUGACUGCCCUAUGGGUUGUAAACUUCUUUUAUACGGGAAUAAAGUGGAGUAGGCAUACUCCUUUGUAUGUACCGUAUGAAUAAGGAUCGGCUAACUCCGUG